GGUCCUAUCGUAUAGUGGUUAUUAUUCCUGACUGUCGAUCAGGAGACAGGGGUUCAAUUCCCCUUAGGACCGCCA
This 75-nucleotide transfer RNA is filed under the name Sulfitobacter sp. R18_1. Its description in RNAcentral is "tRNA-Asp". It matches the Rfam family "tRNA". Rfam says of the family: Transfer RNA (tRNA) molecules are approximately 80 nucleotides in length. Their secondary structure includes four short double-helical elements and three loops (D, anti-codon, and T loops). The record is from RNAcentral. Lineage: Bacteria; Pseudomonadati; Pseudomonadota; Alphaproteobacteria; Rhodobacterales; Roseobacteraceae.